RNAcentral lists this ribosomal RNA (301 nucleotides) under uncultured bacterium. RNAcentral's name for it is "partial 16S ribosomal RNA". It matches the Rfam family "Archaeal small subunit ribosomal RNA", at positions 459 to 760 of the family's 1478-position model. The record is from RNAcentral.
CAGUAGCCGCGGGAAAACCAGCACCUCGAGUGGUCAGGAGGUUUAUUGGGCCUAAAGCAUCCGUAGCCGGUUGCAUAAGUUUUCGGUUAAAUCUAUGCGCUUAACGUAUAGGCCGCCGAAAAUACUGUGCAGCUAGGGAGUGGGAGAGGUACACGGUACUCGAUAGGAAGGGGUAAAAUCCUUUGAUCUAUUGAUGACCACCUGUGGCGAAGGCGGUGUACCAGAACACGUUCGACGGUGAGGGAUGAAAGCUGGGGGAGCAAACCGGAUUAGAUACCCGUGUAGUCCCUGUCUCUUAUAA